Molecule: ribosomal RNA, 499 nt
Filed under: uncultured bacterium
Lineage: Bacteria
Description: bacterial SSU rRNA
Rfam family: Bacterial small subunit ribosomal RNA
Source: RNAcentral
ACGAACGCUGGCGGCGUGCCUAAUACAUGCAAGUCGAGCGGAAUGAUGAAGAAGCUUGCUUCUUCUGAUUUUAGCGGCGGACGGGUGAGUAACACGUGGGCAACCUACCUUGUAGAUUGGGAUAACUCCGGGAAACCGGGGCUAAUACCGAAUAAUCCAUUUCGCUUCAUGGCGAGAUGUUGAAAGACGGUUUCGGCUGUCACUACAAGAUGGGCCCGCGGCGCAUUAGCUAGUUGGUAGGGUAAUGGCCUACCAAGGCGACGAUGCGUAGCCGACCUGAGAGGGUGAUCGGCCACACUGGGACUGAGACACGGCCCAGACUCCUACGGGAGGCAGCAGUAGGGAAUCUACCACAAUGGACGAAAGUCUGAUGAGCAACGCCGCGUGAGUGAAGAAGGUUUUCGGAUCGUAAAACUCUGUUGUAAGGGAAGAACACGUACGAGAGUAACUGCUCGUACCUUGACGGGUACCUUAUUAGAAAGCCACGGCUAACUACGUG